AGCGAACGCUGGCGGCAGGCUUAACACAUGCAAGUCGAGGGGAGCGGCAGACGGGUGAGUAACGCGUGGGAACGCACAUUUUGGUUCGGAACAACACAGGGAAACUUGUGCUAAUACGGGAUACUGAAAGAUCGGCGCGCCUCAGAUUAGCUAGUUGGUAGGGUAAUGGCCUAACAAGGCGACGAUCAGUAGCUGGUCUGAGAGGAUGAUCAGCCACAUUGGGACGGAGAAACGGCCCAAACUCCUACGGGAGGCAGCAGUGGGGAAUAUUGGACAAUCGGGGCAACCCUGAUCCAGCCAUGCUGGGUGAGUGAUUAAGGCCCUAGGGUUGUAAAGCACUUUUGUGCGGUAAGCGGUACCACAAGAAUAAGCCCCGGCUAACUUCGUGCCAGCCGCCGCGGUAAUAC
Molecule: ribosomal RNA, 407 nt
Filed under: uncultured bacterium
Lineage: Bacteria
Description: partial 16S ribosomal RNA
Rfam family: Bacterial small subunit ribosomal RNA
Source: RNAcentral